UCUGUUAGAUAACCCUGUCUCUCUAGGUUUCAAAAAUAUCUUCACCCCAUCGCAAGUGACCAGGAGGGACUUCUGGGCCUCACCCAACUCACUACCGCAGUGAGUCGCUAGUACUGGAUUUCAUCUGAGUUAUAAAUACAACAGCCUGGCAAAGGGCAAGUCAAUGGAAUCAAUACGAUCUGCCCUAGCGUCCGCGUAUUUUCCAGCCUGCUCCACUGCUAAUCACUCCUGAAGCCUCUUUGGUGCCCCGGCUUUAUUGAUUGCCUCUGCAGAAGAAUGUGUGUGUGUGGGGUCCCCAAGGACACAAGGACGCCACUGGCAGGGCCAGAGACAGAGGCAUGCUCUCCAGAGGCCUGUCCUGCUGCUGCUGCUGCUAAGCAGGACUUUGGGCCAGCGGCCACCCAUCAUGACAUUGAAGCUGGCCCCAGAGAUCCCAGGAUAGAGGCCCCAGGGCAGCAUUGCCUGCUCCACCUCCACAGAGAAACAUCCCUGUGAGCUUGGGGUGUGGAGAAGACGAGGGAGGAGCCCUCCGUGGAUGCCUUGGACUUGGAGGUGUCUGCAUGGAUGAAGGCUCAGAUGGAAUCACCCCAGUUCUGCUGCUGCAGUAGCUGUGUGGCCGUGGGCAGGUUCUUCAAGCUGUGCCUCAGUCUCCCUGUCUGUAAAGGGGGACAUCAUGUACCCUUGGAGCAGGGUUGAGGUGAGGAGUCCACCAGAGCC
Molecule: long non-coding RNA, 717 nt
Filed under: Pan troglodytes (chimpanzee)
Lineage: Eukaryota; Metazoa; Chordata; Mammalia; Primates; Hominidae
Description: long non-coding RNA NONPTRT010324
Source: RNAcentral